This 2657-nucleotide long non-coding RNA is filed under the name Citrus sinensis (sweet orange). RNAcentral describes it as "long non-coding RNA (CSIN_LNC001875)". The record is from RNAcentral. Lineage: Eukaryota; Viridiplantae; Streptophyta; Magnoliopsida; Sapindales; Rutaceae.
GAAUUCAAAAUGUUGGGGCUUCUCAUUCGGAGAGGAAAAUGGUACGAAAAUUCCUCUGAAUUGUUUACAGCAGUCUUAUUUGUAAACUUUGUAUAAUUCUAAUGUGAAUUUUGCUAAAAAGAAAUAUCGAAUCUAUGGUGAAGUAUGAAUUUGAACAUUUGCAAGAAGCCGGGUGAGUUUGCUUAGGGUUUCACGAGCAGCUAUGGUGUCUGGAUGAUCCUCACCAGAAAUUGAAGUUCUAAUAAAAACAGCCUUCCUAAUUAGAUCAUCCCCUAUGUCAAAUUGCCCUCCUCUUAGCAUUAACUUGGCCCUAGUUUCAAGGACUGUGGCUCUUGUUAGAGCUAAUUCCUGCCAGAGGGUUGGAUUCAACUGAGCAUUAGUCUGGACGGGCCGCCAACAAAGUGAUUUGUCCAACAAUUUUUCAACUGGGGUAACUAAUGCAUGGUCCGCUGCUUCCAGAGCAUUGGUGCAUAGACGCAGGAGUUCUAAAGCAGCACUACACCGAGAAAACGUAAUGAAUGUCCUGAUUGCAACAGGCAAAACCACCUCUUUAACAAGGUAUAACAACUCUGACACUUUGAGCUCGACAACUUUUAGGUCAUUACCAAACCCAAAUAGCAAGAAACAUGCUGUCCAUAUAUGUCCUGAAUGAUGGGUUAUAGAUCCACGGCUGAUGACAGCUUGAACCAUGGCAUGAGCAACACCAGUAACUCCUCUUUUGCGAGCAUAAAGCUUCACAAGAUCGUUGAAAUGGAUGUACCCUUGCCUGGUACUACUUCUGGCAAUGUUGAAUCUCAACAACAUGGAAGAUGCUUCCGCUUCUGAUCUCUUGGUGUAUGAGGAAGUAAAUCCACAAGUUAAAGACAGUAAUAAUUUCCUCCACAAGUGGGUACCCUUGUGCUUCUCAGGUAUCUUGUGAGCAGCAAGGGCUAAUAGGGAAACCGGAAUAGCAGCCGGUGCAAACCACCCACCAGCAAGCACCAUUCUAGUUGCCAGGCUCCUCGGCCCAUCUGCAUGAUCAAAUAUUGAGAAACAAACCUCGAAGAGUUGAAAUAGGAAAGUGUUUCUUCUCAAUGAAUGAGAUUCCCUACCAUUCCAAGACAAGUCCCUCAAGGAACCCUCGGAGAUCCCCUAUUAUUAUUCGGGGAGGAGAUGGAGAUUCUCUCAAGUAAUUACGACUGAGACGGGGAGGGAACGGGGACAUACGCAAAAUAUUAGGGAUGUGUACGGAGAGAUUGGUUCCCUCCCCUCCUCUCCCCAUUGCCAUCCCUACUCUCAAUUCAGCCUCCACAAUCAACCCACGAACUCCUCCAGCAUGGAAAUAGAAUAGCUUAGUAUAGAAAUAUAUCAAACCCACUCUUAAUAAAUGUACAAUAGCAAUUAAUGACCUGAGACAACUCAAAUGCAAGCAUCAACUAUCAUGAGUAAACCAUUCUUAUUUCAUAGAAAAUGGUCAAAAUGCAAUACAAUGGACAAAACACAUGCAUGCAGACGUACACGCACAAGAGUGAACAUCGUAAAGUGGUGCUUUUUCAAUUACAGUCUAAAUUCGAAACACGGUUUAACUUAUUUUUGAGUCUGGAGGAUUCAGAUUAUUUCAACUUUUUAUUAUUUAUUAGUUGUAUAGGGAACUUUUUGAAUUCCCAGUAGCAAGGGACUUCAGUAACGAAAAUGCCUUCAACACUGCCCAAUAUACUUUCCAAAGAUUUUUACGAGUACAUUUUAUUAAUAUAGAAGUACGUUUCUUUGGUCAGCAUAGGAAGACUGGAAACUUUCAAAAUUGGUUUCUACCUGCACUUAUAGUGCCAUUUGAAAAAUUCAGAAACCAAUCAACAGAAAGUUAGCUCAAAUUGAUAACCGAUGGUGUAAUUAAGUUGGCGCAAAUUCAUAUGAUUGAUAUCAAUGUAACAGAAAAAGAAUGAAUUCAAAAUGUUGGGGCUUCUCAUUCGGAGAGGAAAAUGGUACGAAAAUUCCUCUGAAUUGUUUACAGCAGUCUUAUUUGUAAACUUUGUAUAAUUCUAAUGUGAAUUUUGCUAAAAAGAAAUAUCGAAUCUAUGGUGAAGUAUGAAUUUGAACAUUUGCAAGAAGCCGGGUGAGUUUGCUUAGGGUUUCACGAGCAGCUAUGGUGUCUGGAUGAUCCUCACCAGAAAUUGAAGUUCUAAUAAAAACAGCCUUCCUAAUUAGAUCAUCCCCUAUGUCAAAUUGCCCUCCUCUUAGCAUUAACUUGGCCCUAGUUUCAAGGACUGUGGCUCUUGUUAGAGCUAAUUCCUGCCAGAGGGUUGGAUUCAACUGAGCAUUAGUCUGGACGGGCCGCCAACAAAGUGAUUUGUCCAACAAUUUUUCAACUGGGGUAACUAAUGCAUGGUCCGCUGCUUCCAGAGCAUUGGUGCAUAGACGCAGGAGUUCUAAAGCAGCACUACACCGAGAAAACGUAAUGAAUGUCCUGAUUGCAACAGGCAAAACCACCUCUUUAACAAGGUAUAACAACUCUGACACUUUGAGCUCGACAACUUUUAGGUCAUUACCAAACCCAAAUAGCAAGAAACAUGCUGUCCAUAUAUGUCCUGAAUGAUGGGUUAUAGAUCCACGGCUGAUGACAGCUUGAACCAUGGCAUGAGCAACACCAGUAACUCCUCUUUUGCGAGCAUAAAGCUUCA